AUACGCCGGCGUUUGACGCAAAAGUAUAAAUCAGCCUUAAGUCAAGAACCAAAUGAAGCACCAGAGUACAGAUUAUGGAGGUAUCUGAAGUUGAACUAACUGGAAGCAGGGAACCAUACUAAUAAAGUUCCUUAAGCAGGUUCCUUGUAAAGAUUAACCCAGGGAAGGAUCGAAAGUGGAGAAGACCAGAUCAAGAAAGACUACAUCAAGAUCUGCGGUCAGUUCAAAGGAUGUUUUGCAUUGGACUGUUUUUUUUGGCUUUGACCCUUGCUUGCCCCUGACCUCACUCUUGGACUGCCCUGUUGGAUUUUCAGUUUAUUUAAUUAAAAAAAAAAUUUUUGGUUCUGGGUAGAUGCUAAUAAAUAUUUAAUUGUAAUUAUUUAAUGUAAAUCAAAGGCGGCAACACCAAGGCUCCAAAAAUACAAAUUUAUUAAAUUAAAAAGGCUGACACAGAGCGUAAAAUGUUUCGAGCCGCCGGCUCUUCAUUAGACAAAUAAUUUUUCGUUGUAAUUUUUUAAAUAAUAUGUUUUUGUUAAAUAUGCAAUUUCUGUGUUUGUUCUGUCUACUCGAACUUGUUUAUCUGGUUUCUGUAAUUAUCAUUUGUUUAUUUGACCCUUGCCUCGCCUCUGAUCUUGUUUUUGGAUUGCCCUUCAUAUAUCUUUUUAAUUAUUGGUUCUAGUUAUAUGGUUAUAAAAUAUUUGUUAAUUUAAUUAAU
Non-coding RNA from Danio rerio (zebrafish), 715 nucleotides. NCBI's taxonomy places the organism in Eukaryota, Metazoa, Chordata, Actinopteri, Cypriniformes, Danionidae. The record is from RefSeq and is a predicted model, not a curated record.